UCUGAUUGAAAAACUAAAAACAACAGAAUAUCUUGUUGUGCAUAAAUCAUCAAUUAUAUGCCCAAUUAGUACUGUCCAGUUAAAGGUCGAAGCUAGAAUUAUAGAUCUUACAACUGUACUUCCAAAAAGAACAAUUCAAUGUCAGACUUUUAUCAUUGCUAAAUGUCAGGAUCUCAUAUCAUACAAUCAUAAUCCUCCUAGAUUAGGAUUAUACCAAAUUAGUGAACGAAUAAAAUAACUACAAUUUGGAGCUUCAAGUAAAGCAAACGGUUAACUUAAUUCUCUAGUCGACGGCCAUGUUGGUACCUGAAGAAUCACCCUCCCCUGCUGUUAGUUCAGCACUUUGGUCCCAAGUUCUUGGCGCAGCAUCCGAUCCCAAAUCUCCAACCUGGUAGCCAAUUCUGGUCAACAAAUAGUAGCAUGGAAUACUUUUCCAACUAACUUAGAAUCAGACAAGAAGACAUGCUUACCAUGUUGGCGUAUAUGACACUGGAACCACCCAUGCAACCAUUGUCUAGAUGUGUCUCUUUCGGUUCAAAACUGUGAAUUUC
RNAcentral lists this long non-coding RNA (551 nucleotides) under Triticum aestivum (bread wheat). Its description in RNAcentral is "long non-coding RNA (TAES_LNC019336)". The record is from RNAcentral. Lineage: Eukaryota; Viridiplantae; Streptophyta; Magnoliopsida; Poales; Poaceae.